RNAcentral lists this ribosomal RNA (500 nucleotides) under uncultured Sphingobacteriales bacterium. RNAcentral's name for it is "bacterial SSU rRNA". It matches the Rfam family "Bacterial small subunit ribosomal RNA", at positions 903 to 1382 of the family's 1533-position model. The record is from RNAcentral. Lineage: Bacteria; Pseudomonadati; Bacteroidota; Sphingobacteriia; Sphingobacteriales.
UUGCCAGCCCGCUCAGAACUUAAAGGAAUUGACGGGGGCCCGCACAAGCGGAGGAGCAUGUGGUUUAAUUCGAUGAUACGCGAGGAACCUUACCUGGGCUCGAACGUAAGAUGACUGUAGGUGAAAGCUUACAUCUCUUCGGAGCAUUUUACGAGGUGCUGCAUGGUUGUCGUCAGCUCGUGCCGUGAGGUGUCGGGUUAAGUCCCAUAACGAGCGCAACCCCUACCUUUAGUUGCCAUCAGGUUAAGCUGGGGACUCUAAAGGAACUGCCUACGCAAGUAGUGAGGAAGGCGGGGAUGACGUCAAAUCAGCACGGCCCUUACGUCCAGGGCUACACACGUGCUACAAUGGCCGAUACAGAGGGCAGCUACCUGGUGACAGGAUGCAAAUCUCCAAAGUCGGUCUCAGUUCGGAUCGGAGUCUGCAACCCGACUCCGUGAAGUUGGAUUCGCUAGUAAUCGCGCAUCAGCCAUGGCGCGGUGAAUACGUUCCCGGGCCUU